GGUAGAUGUUGUACUGCGCUCGCUCACUCCACAGGAUCUUUCUCAUGGCUCCCAAGCCCAAACCCCACCGUCUCCAUCCAGGGACUGCGUUACAGAGCUCGGCGAAGAGAGUAAGAACAAUGAGCACAGAGUCUUCUUUCAAGGAUGCCUUUGGAAAAUACGCAGAAUAUCUCAAUGACCUUGUAAAUUUCUUUCUUUAUUCUUCUUUAUUACCGUUGUUAUUGUUAGAAUUUGAAACUUAUAAGAAUAAUUUUGACCAUGAUGGUGGAAGUGAAAAUGUGUGCCAUGGACUAAGGGUCUGAAUUUUAACCGCUAAUCUCUCUUGUUUGGCCAAUUCAAUCUUGAAGAGCAACAACAAUGGGAGUGGAUGUUAGUUUAGUCUGUGUAGAGGUUCUCGAAGAUAUAUGCCGAUUAAUGAUUUUGGCGAGUUGAAUUUGCUUUUUGGGUUAGUCAGCUGUGACUAAUGCUGUAUUUGUCUUUGUUGAACUUGAACAUUUGUCUCCAUUUUCAACUGUAAUCCUUUUUCUAUGUGAUUGCUUCAAUCCUGUCAUUGUGGGUUGGCAAGCCCAGUAACUGAAUCUUCCCAAUGGAACCUCAAAGUUCAUUUAUUUUGAUCUCAAGUUGAAGCCUCCUAUGGACCUACAUUGAAAACCAAACCUAAUCAAUAAAAGAAUACUUCUAAUGAAAUUAUCUUGUUAUAAUGCCUAAGUCAUGGUACAUCACAUGCCAUCAAAAAGAAAUCAAAGUUUUGCUUUUGUCAAGGAAUCAGUUUUGAAGCUUGAGACAAAAUUGGAAGUAAAUUUUAAAUUCAAUGAUCCAGUUGCAUGAAAUAAAACAGUGGGGACUACACUAGAAAGAAAUAUAAUCGCAGAGACUAGGUGUAAUACUUGGCCAAAGAUGCCUGAUACAAUGAAUGGGAAGUGGGUAGUGGGAAGUGUAAAAGAUUUUACUAUAUGGAAAUGCUUUCUGAAAUAUUUAUAUUAUUUUGAGCCUGCAUGAAACUACUUAUAUUGGUGGUUUGAUUCCUCUCUUAUCAUAAAUUAAUAAUCAUUGAAACUAUGUCAUGCUCGCAACUCAAUUUAUGUAUUCUUGUAGAAUGACAAACGGGAAAGAGUAGUUAAAGCUAGUCGUGAUGUCACCAUGAACAGCAAAAAGGUCAUAUUUCAAGUUCACAGAAUCAGUAAAUAUAACAAAGAAGAAGUUCUUGAGAAGGCAGAAAAGGAUUUAGCAGCUGUGACAGAUCAGUAUAUGUCCCGAUUAGUCAAAGAACUGCAAGGCACUGAUUUUUGGAAGCUAAGACGAGCUUACUCUCCUGGGGUGCAAGAAUACGUUGAAGCUGCAACAUUCUGUAAAUUCUGCCGAACAGGGACUCUUUUGAACCUGGAUGAGAUCAAUGCUAGUCUAUUGCCACUUAGUGAUCCAUCUCUUGAGCCUUUGCAGUUAAACAUCCUUGACUAUCUUUUGGGGCUUGCAGAUUUAACAGGAGAGCUGAUGCGGCUAGCAAUUGGUCGAAUUUCAGAUGGUGAGCCUGAAUUUGCUGAGAGGAUAUGUAAGUUUGUACGUGAAAUCUACAGGGAGUUGAGUCUCAUUGUCCCACAUAUGGAUGAUAGUUCUGACAUGAAAACAAAGAUGGAUACAAUGCUUCAAAGCAUGCUGAAAAUAGAGAAUGCUUGCUUUAGUGUCCAUGUGAGAGGAUCAGAAUACAUGCCACUGCUUGGAUCUAGCGAGCCGAGUUCCUUUUUGUUGGGGGUGUCUGACAUUGAAUUAUGAAGUGAUUUCAUCUCUAAUUGUCAGGGAGUUGUCCUUGUCUGGAGGCAUUUAGAAGAGACAGAUUUUCUUGGUGAUAAAAAGAAAUAGUUUUGGAAAACUUAGAAGUGAGCCCUUUGCCAAUGCAAACUCCUCUUUAGAAAAGUCACUUGCUUUGUUCAUUUUUGGAAAUAUUUUGUAAAAUCUGUUGAUGCUUACCUUCAGAAAAUAGAAUUUGCUCCUUAAAAGCUUUUCUCCAGUCUUUCAUAAGCUGUAGAAAUUGUGCAUUUGUGCUACUAUCCUUUCAGUUUCAAGGAAUGAAAGCCUUCCAUAGAGUUGUCAACUUGAGCCUCAAGUGGAAUGUUAAUGAUGCUGCCUCUUCUUCAUUCCAAAAUUUCUUCUGUAUUUCCAAUGGUACUAGUAAUUCUACAUCAUUGGGCUCAAUACCGUUUAAUUCUUACAUUGAUGAUUCUUUUUCUGUUUUGUUACAAUAUGGUUAUUCAGCUCGAUUCAAAAACCAUGCACAGCCCUACUUGAAACCAACCUUUGGUUGAUUUUCUUUGUCAAGCAAUUUUCUUGGAUCAUCGUCGGUUGCUGCUUUACUGAGGCAGCAGUGACAACAGCAAAGCAGCUUCCUCGUCUUUUAAGGUUUGGCCAAAUUAAUAACUUAAUUUUUAUAUUUUUAAAAUUAAAUAAUUUAAUUUCUCAUUUUUUAUUGUAUAUAAAUAUUAGUCUACUUAUUUAAUUUAUUGUUAAUUAUAAUAAAAAUAAUAAAAAUAUCUUUAUUAAUUAUGUCUUAGAUUUUGUUUUAUAAAUAAAAUAUUUUAUUGAUCGUUUUGGUCAGUA
Molecule: unclassified non-coding RNA, 2592 nt
Filed under: Hevea brasiliensis (rubber tree)
Lineage: Eukaryota; Viridiplantae; Streptophyta; Magnoliopsida; Malpighiales; Euphorbiaceae
Source: RNAcentral